This is a long non-coding RNA of Cyprinus carpio (common carp), 1185 nucleotides long. The record is from Ensembl. Lineage: Eukaryota; Metazoa; Chordata; Actinopteri; Cypriniformes; Cyprinidae.
AUGCUGAGGAAAACCCAAAUCAGAGACACUAAUUUCCAGUCACCACCCCCUGUGAGCAGAGAGACUAGUCUGUCAACACACCAUUAUGCCUCACCUUGCUGCAGCCCCUCAUCAGAUCUGACUAGAACACGUGUGCGUACCAUUGAAGAGCCCUGGAUGAAACCAUUACCUCCUCUCCCCGACCAGAGACCGAGCCAAACCACCCAGGUCCCAUACUAUCAAGUACCACUGCCCUCUGAAACUUAUACAGUACACAGUCAGUUUGCUCCAGAGACUGAGCCAUUGUCAAGAAUAUCGUACCCAGUUACUACAUCUCAGCUUAGGGCUGAUGCAGUGCCCUAUAUUCCCCAUCCCUCAUCAUACUGGCCUCCAACAUUAGAGAGCCCCACCUUCCAAGAUUUCAUUAAAGAAGACAGAGCCCAGUAUGUGGAACUUAGGAUCGCCCUGGACAACCUGCUUCACCCCCAACUACCAGAGCAUUACAAGUACUCCAUCCUGCUUAAACAUGUGAAGGUACCUAAUGCUCACAGACUGGUACUGGCACAUGCAGAGUCAGUUACACCUUACACUAAUGCUCUGCAAGCACUUGACAGAAGGUAUGGCCAGCCCUUCCAGUUUGUGCUAAGGGAAAUAGAGACUUUGGAGAAUCUGCCACCUCUUUGUGUUGGUGUUGAGCGGGCAUUUGAUGACUUUUCCCUUAGAGUCCAAGCUAUAGUCGGUAUGCUCAAAGCCCUGAAGGAGGAGGGGAUUGAAGAACUGCACAGUGGGUCAAAUGUGAAACGCCUUCUGAACCGUCUUCCUCGUUCACAACAAACCCAAUUCAGGAGGCAUCACCUCAAAAGAAACCCAGAUAAGACUAAGUUCUCCCUCCUCGAGUUUGCAGACUGGCUACAGCUAGAAGCCAACUGUAUGGAAUUCGACCCAACUGAUGAGACAAGAACCAUAAAACGAGAUCAAAGAGCAGUGAUUCGAGGACAAAGCAAACAAACGACCAUACUGCAUGGCGUAGAACAAAGACAGGCCACAGAACCAUUACCUAAACCCAAAGCAGUUCAUCCUAAAGUUCCUACCAAGCCCAAAGCCGUCUGUCCAUACUGUCGUGCAGAACAUCACCUCAUUCAGUGUACCGUAUUCACAGCAUUAACAAAGGAGCAAAUGGUUGGAUGGAUCAAAGAAAAUAAAUGA